RNAcentral lists this transfer RNA (73 nucleotides) under Marmota monax (woodchuck). RNAcentral's name for it is "tRNA.Ala". It matches the Rfam family "tRNA". From Rfam's summary of the family: Transfer RNA (tRNA) molecules are approximately 80 nucleotides in length. Their secondary structure includes four short double-helical elements and three loops (D, anti-codon, and T loops). Further hydrogen bonds mediate the characteristic L-shaped molecular structure. tRNAs have two regions of fundamental functional importance: the anti-codon, which is responsible for specific mRNA codon recognition, and the 3' end, to which the tRNAs corresponding amino acid is attached (by aminoacyl-tRNA synthetases). tRNAs cope with the degeneracy of the genetic code in two manners: having more than one tRNA (with a specific anti-codon) for a particular amino acid; and 'wobble' base-pairing, i.e. permitting non-standard base-pairing at the 3rd anti-codon position. The record is from RNAcentral. Lineage: Eukaryota; Metazoa; Chordata; Mammalia; Rodentia; Sciuridae.
UUGGGUGUAGUGCAAUUGCAGAGCACUUGCCUAGCAUGCAUGAGGCCUGGGUUCAAUCCCCAGCAACCCCAAA